AUUGAACGCUGGCGGCAUGCCUUACACAUGCAAGUCGAACGGUAACAGGUCCUUCGGGAUGCCGACGAGUGGCGAACGGGUGAGUAAUAUAUCGGAACGUGCCCAGUAGUGGGGGAUAACUGCUCGAAAGAGCAGCUAAUACCGCAUACGACCUGAGGGUGAAAGGGGGGGAUCGCAAGACCCCUCGCUAUUGGAGCGGCCGAUAGCAGAUUAGCUAGUUGGUGGGGUAAAGGCCUACCAAGGCAACGAUCUGUAGUUGGUCUGAGAGGACGACCAGCCACACUGGGACUGAGACACGGCCCAGACUCCUACGGGAGGCAGCAGUGGGGAAUUUUGGACAAUGGGCGAAAGCCUGAUCCAGCAAUGCCGCGUGCAGGAUGAAGGCCUUCGGGUUGUAAACUGCUUUUGUACGGAACGAAAAGCCCCGGGUUAAUACCCUGGGGUCAUGACGGUACCGUAAGAAUAAGCACCGGCUAACUACGUGCCAGCCGCCGCAGUAA
RNAcentral lists this ribosomal RNA (500 nucleotides) under uncultured bacterium. RNAcentral's name for it is "partial 16S ribosomal RNA". It matches the Rfam family "Bacterial small subunit ribosomal RNA", at positions 30 to 523 of the family's 1533-position model. The record is from RNAcentral.